This 70-nucleotide transfer RNA is filed under the name Neotoma lepida (desert woodrat). It matches the Rfam family "tRNA". From Rfam's summary of the family: Transfer RNA (tRNA) molecules are approximately 80 nucleotides in length. Their secondary structure includes four short double-helical elements and three loops (D, anti-codon, and T loops). Lineage: Eukaryota; Metazoa; Chordata; Mammalia; Rodentia; Cricetidae. The record is from Rfam by way of RNAcentral.
GGAGAGAUGGCUCAGUGGUUAAGAGCACUGACUGUUCUUCCAGAGGACCUGGGUUCAAUUCCUAGCACCA